AAGUCGUAACAAGGUUUCCGUAGGUGAACCUGCGGAAGGAUCAUUAUUGAAUAAAUCUGACAUGGUUGUAGCUGGCUCUUCGGGGCAUGUGCUCGCCUGUCACCUUUAUCUUUCCACCUGUGCACACACUGUAGUCCUGGAUACCUCUCGCCGCAAGGCGGAUGCAGAGACUGCUGUUCAGCCUCCGAAAGGGGGAGGUCGGCUAUCUCUGAAUUUCCAGGUCUACGAUUAUCACAUACCCCAAUUGAAUGUUACAGAAUGUUAUCAAAGGGCCUUGUGCCUAUAAACCUAUACAACUUUCAGCAACGGAUCUCUUGGCUCUC
RNAcentral lists this unclassified non-coding RNA (323 nucleotides) under Coprinopsis pachyderma. RNAcentral's name for it is "partial internal transcribed spacer region". The stretch from base 1 to 46 matches the Rfam family "Eukaryotic small subunit ribosomal RNA", at positions 1786 to 1831 of the family's 1831-position model. Lineage: Eukaryota; Fungi; Basidiomycota; Agaricomycetes; Agaricales; Psathyrellaceae. RNAcentral also lists the same sequence under 1 other name. The record is from RNAcentral.